RNAcentral lists this ribosomal RNA (460 nucleotides) under uncultured bacterium. Its description in RNAcentral is "partial 16S ribosomal RNA". It matches the Rfam family "Bacterial small subunit ribosomal RNA", at positions 338 to 795 of the family's 1533-position model. The record is from RNAcentral.
CCUACGGGAGGCAGCAGUGAGGAAUAUUGGUCAAUGGACGAGAGUCUGAACCAGCCAAGUAGCGUGAAGGAUGACUGCCCUAUGGGCUGUAACCUUCUUUUAUAAAGGAAUAAAACGAGGCACGUGUGCCUUUUUGCAUGUACUUUAUGAAUAAGGAUCGGCUAACCCCGUGCCAGCAGCACCGGUAAUACGGUGGAUCCGAGCGUUAUCCGGAUUUAUUGUGUUUAAAGGGAGCGUAGAUGGGUUGUUAAGUCAGUUGUGAAAGUUUGCGGCUUAACCGUAAAAUUGCAAUUGAUACUGGCAGUCUUGAGUACAGUUGAGGUAGGCGGAAUUCGAGGUGUAGCGGUGAAAUGCUUAGAUAUCACGAAGAACCCCGAUUGCGAAGGCAGCUUACUAAACUGUGACUGACAUUGAUGCUCGAAAGUGUGGGUAGCAAACAGGAUUAGAUACCCGGGUAGUC